RNAcentral lists this ribosomal RNA (1330 nucleotides) under uncultured bacterium. RNAcentral's name for it is "bacterial SSU rRNA". It matches the Rfam family "Bacterial small subunit ribosomal RNA", at positions 27 to 1393 of the family's 1533-position model. The record is from RNAcentral.
GAGCGAACGCUGGCGGCAGGCCUAACACAUGCAAGUCGAGCGGCCGUAGCAAUACGGCAGCGGCAGACGGGAGAGUAACACGUGGGAACGUACCCUUCAGUUCGGAACAACCAAGGGAAACUUUGGCUAAUACCGGAUACGUCCGUAAGGAGAAAGAUUUAUCGCUGAAGGAUCGGCCCGCGUCUGAUUAGCUAGUUGGUGUGGUAACGGCGCACCAAGGCGACGAUCAGUAGCUGGUCUGAGAGGAUGAUCAGCCUCACUGGGACUGAGACACGGCCCAGACUCCUACGGGAGGCAGCAGUGGGGAAUAUUGGACAAUGGGCGCAAGCCUGAUCCAGCCAUGCCGCGUGGAUGAUGAAGGCCCUAGGGUUGUAAAGUCCUUUUAUGAGAGAAGAAAGGCUCUUUGAGCUGUGACGGUAUCUCAUGAAUAAGCCACGGCUAACUACGUGCCAGCAGCCGCGGUAAUACGUAGGUGGCAAGCGUUGUCCGGAUUUACUGGGCGUAAAGGGUGUGUAGGCGGAAGCUUAAGUAGGAAGUGAAAGGUUGGAGCUCAACUCCAAACACUGCUCCCUAUACUGGGUUUCUUGAGUCUCGGAGAGGAAGAUGGAACGACACGUGUAGCGGUGAAAUGCGUUGAUAUGUGUCGGAACACCAAUGGCGAAGGCAGUCUUCUGGACGAGAACUGACGCUGAGACACGAAAGCCAAGGGAGCGAACAGGAUUAGAUACCCUGGUAGUCUUGGCCCUAAACUAUGUUCACUAGGUGUCGGGGGUUUCCUUCGGUGCCGCAGCUAACGCAUUAAGUGAACCGCCUGGGGACUACGGCCGCAAGGUUGAAACUCAAAGGAAUUGGCGGGGGCCCGCACAAGCGGUGGAGCAUGUGGCUUAAUUCGAUGCAACGCGAAGAACCUUACCAGGGCUUGACAUGUAGCUGCAAGCCGCCGAAACGUGGUCGCCUUCGAGGGUGCUACACAGGUGGUGCAUGGCUGUCGUCAGCUCGUGUUGUGAAAUGUUGGGUUAAGUCCCGCAACGAGCGCAACCCUCAUGUUCUGUUACCAGCGAGUAAAGUCGGGGACUCGGAACAAACUGCCUCUGUAAGGAGGAGGAAGGUGGGGAUGACGUCAAGUCAUCAUGCCCCUUACGCCCUGGGCUGCACACAUGCUACAAUGGCCGGUACAAAGAGCUGCGAACUCGCGAGAGUAAGCUAAUCUCAAAAAGCCGGUCUCAGUUCGGAUUGGAGUCUGCAACUCGACUCCAUGAAGUUGGAAUCGCUAGUAACCGCCGGUCAGCAAUACGGCGGUGAAUACGUUCCCGGGCCUUGCACACACCGC